GAAAUGCGAUAAGUAGUGUGAAUUGCAGAAUUCAGUGAAUCAUCGAAUCUUUGAACGCACAUUGCGCCCUAUGGUAUUCUGUAGGGCAUGCCUGUUCGAGCGUUAUUCAAACCUUCAAGCCCUGCUUGGUGUUGGGCGUCUGUCCUGCCUCACGGCGCGGACUUGCCUCAAAUCUAUUAGCGGCUGGCACGUUGGCUUUGAGCGCAGCAGAAACGCGAACUCAAGACCAGCGGACUGGCUCCUAGAAGCAAACCCCCAUGAAUUUAACCUUAGAUUAGGUAGGGAUACCCGCUAAACUUAA
Molecule: unclassified non-coding RNA, 301 nt
Filed under: uncultured fungus
Lineage: Eukaryota; Fungi
Description: sequence contains ITS1
Rfam family: 5.8S ribosomal RNA (bases 1-105)
Source: RNAcentral